AUUUCAGAUCCAUUCCAAAUCGUGCAUCUAGGUUCAAGUCAUUUUAAAGGGGCUGUGUGCGUAAAAUCAAUACUCUGCUUGCACACUCGAUCAGAAAAUGACCCGUUUAGCGUCCUAACCAGAAAUGUGACCAGAGGAAGUUUGAGAUUUUGAAAAAAAAAAGACUCACCAUAAAAAUAUAUAUAUCAGAUGCAAUGUGUACAAAUCACAAAUCCAUGAGCAGAAAGCAAGCUUUAAUCUCCAUGAUAUGUUCCAACACACAGGUAGAGUCCAGCGUGAGUCCCGGAAGCAAAUAUGAGCACAUCCUAGCGCAAGGCUCGCAAGAGGAGGACGAAGCUCAAUUUGGAGCGUCUUACCGUCCUGGUCUUCAGACAAUCGACUCUUUGUUGCACAGGGAAAUUCACCUCCCUUCAUUAAAAUAACCAAAUAUAUUCACUGCUUCACUUUUGACACAUUGUUACAGCCUUAUUCCCCCCCAAAAAGGUUAAACCCCUGUAAUGAUUUACACAUUUUAUUUGGAGUGUAAUUGCACUCUUGGCCACUAGAUGGUGAGACCUUUAUGUUUAAAAAUCACAUCUGCCUCAGGAUUCACAGCCUAAAUCGUACCUGUAGGACGCCCGCGUUCCUCAUGGAUUAUUCCAGCCGUGGUGAAGAGGCUGAAAACCAAGAGGGAGAAGACGACGGUCAGCUCCUCAAGCGCACCCAAUAAGAACGCCAUCGUCGUCCAACACUGCAGGCCCGACCACGAGAAGGAAGGCCGGCUGGACGAACGGAGGGAAGCAAGGCGGGAUGGAGGGAGCGGAGUAGUUUCCCAGUCGCCAUGACAACCUCACCCCCAGCCAUCUCCACCGCCGUCUUCUUGAUCUAAUUCCACCAUCCGGAUCAGGAAGCGCAAGGUGUCGCGGGACUUGCCUUGUCUCCUUCGACGGGAUGGCCGCCCAUCGAAGGACGGCAAGGCGCGGGGAUGCCAUGGGACUAACGCCAACGUCUGUGUGUGCUUGAGUGUGUGUGUGUGUGUGUGUGUGUUGCCCGGAAACCGCCAGCAUGCCCGUACACCAGAUCACGGUGGUCCCAGCCAGGGAGAACGGCAAGAGCGGCCCUCGGCCCAAAGACAGGAACGAGGGCCCUCAGGCCAAGACCUCUGGUCGCUCAGGGAGUCGAUCCAGCAACAUCUCCAAGGCAAGCAAAUCUACAGCAGGACAAACCAACAUCUCCAAGACGUCCAUCACCCCAUCUACUCAGGAUGUUUGCAGUGUUGUCCAGCUGACCCACGUUGAAGAGGAUGUGUUCGAAUUGCCCACUGCCGGCGACAACAAGAUCCCGCGCCCUGCUCCCAUGACGAUCCCCAGCGCCGCUCUCGGGCCCUCGGCCCCGCCCCCCAAGAAGCAGGUGAAGCGCCGCCACCGCCGCAAGAGGACCAGCUUCGGCCCAUUGGACUGCAUGGAGGCCAAAGACCCGCAACGCAGCGAGACGCGGUCGGAGCGCCCCUCGCGCGACCCCCCGGCGCGCUUCCGCUGCCCGGACUCCACCUCGGAGGACGAGAAGCCGGCGAACCGCAGUUGGGCUCAGGAGAAGUCCAAGCGGGCUCGCCACCGCAGCCGGAGCAAAAGCGGCGAGGAUGUGACCGAGGUGAUGGAGUUGCAAUCGGUGAGCUCCAACGAGUGCAAGGUGGACCGCCCCCUAGUGGUGGACCACGGCGUGAAAAAUCGACGCGGCAAAAGUAGCAGCGGUGGCAGCGGGCACAGCUCGCUGCGGGAAAGCUUGCCCAGUAUGGACAAGGAGCCCAGUCCGCCUGACAGCUCGUCGGAGGACGGCGAGGAGGAGAUGAUUACGAAAAAGUAUCAGGAGAAGGGGGCAGGGCACGGGGACAUGGCGGUGCCCGCGCUUCAAAAGAGCUGCGGCGCCGACGGCGCGCCGCCUCGCGCCUGCUCCGAUGACUCCGAGUUGGAGGUGUGCAGGAUCUGCCACUGCGAGGGCGACGAGGGGUGUCCGCUCAUCAUGCCGUGCCACUGCACGGGUAGCCUGAGCUUCGUGCACCAAGCGUGUCUCUACCAGUGGAUCAAGUCCUCAGACACGCGCUGCUGUGAGCUCUGCAAGUUCGAUUUCAUCAUGGAGACCAAACUAAAACCUCUGCGCAAGUGGGAGAAGUUGCACAUGUCCAAAAGCGAGAGAAGGAAGAUCUACUGCUCGGUGUUGUUUCACCUCAUUGCCAUCGUGUGCAUGCUGUGGUCCGUCUACAUCCUGGUCAAGAGAACCACCGAGGAGAUCAAACUGGGCAAGAACGAGGAAUUAUGGCGGCUUUCGCUCCUGAAGUACUAUACCCCUCAGGGCGUCUUGGAGUGGCCCUUCUGGACCAAACUGAUCGUGGUGGCCAUCGGCUUCACGGGGGGCCUCAUCUUCAUGUAUAUCCAGUGCAAGGUGUACCUGCAGCUGUGGCGCCGCCUCAAGGCCUUCAACCGCAUCAUCACCGUGCAGAACUGCCCCGACAAGAGCCGGCUCGCCAACGGCAAGCGCCAGGCGCCCGCGGAGGGGCCCGCACCCUCAGACGCGUCCUCGGAGGCGGCGGUGGCGGCCAGGCACAAUCCGGUUUGAAGGCGGCAACAUUUUGCAUCGAGAUGGAUCGGACUUCAAGCAUGUAAGAAGGUGAACAUGAGCAGGCCGGCAGGCAAGCGGCGAUUCACCCCGAUGACCACCAAGAGCGAGGAUGAGGUCUCGGCCCCGGAAAGAUUUGUUCAUGCUGAGUAAUGAUUCCAUCAUGCCAUACUUUUGGGACACCUCCAUUCCCUUCAUGCACUUUGUCAAACCGCACGAAAAUCCCCUGGGUAGGCAAAGUACAGCCCGCGGGCGAGCUGAAGCCCAGAAAUUUAAAAGAAGUGAAUUACUAUGACGAAAUACAGGUGCAUGUCAAUAAAUGAGAAUAUGGGGAAAAUGUCCAUCGUGAAGUACUCUAGGGCGGCGACUAAUGAUCGUUUUCAGAAUCUUGAAAUUUGUCGAUUAUUUUGUCGAUUGAAUCUAUAAAUCAAGACCAAAAGUUUGAAUUUGAAACCCUACGUUGAAAAAAAAUUUGACAGUGUGGAAAAUGCACAAACAAAAGAAGAGAAAUCGGGAUAAUAUUUACUUUUGAGAAGCCAAAACAAUUUUUUGGGACAAUUUUAAAUUCGAAUAGCCAUUUGAAUGAUUCAUCACUCAAAAAUAAUGAGCGAUUUGUUUCGUAAUCGAUUAGUCAGGGAUUAACCGUUGCACCUCUAAAUGACCAUAUUUGGUCAUUUUGCUGAUUUUAUUCCAGGUAACAAUCAUCCAAACUCCACUAUCUCGAAAAGUUAAAAGAGAAACUAUUUUAUCUCAAAUAGAAAAUGGAAUUGGCCUCACGUUGUCCUGUGUAUCAUAAUUCCUUCGGUAUGAGUUUCACUUUUGGAAUUGAACCGAGAAAAAUAAUUUUCUCCAAUAUUCUAAUUUAUCGACAUCGUCCUGUAAUUCAUGUAUUUCAACAACAUACAGUACAGUAUUUCAUUUGGUUUGGAGAGUUUAUUUCCGGACAGCGUUUCGCACAUGGACAGUCAGCUCCCCCCUAGUAAGCAUGAUCAUUUGUAGCUUCAAGACAUCAUUUGGGGGGUGGGGGUUUCAAAGGUCAGAUUGCAGUCUUUCACCUUGGCGAUACGUCGAGAAACAAUGUCGUAGUGACUUUGUUCAUUUUUCUACCAGAGUCGACACAAAAAGUUGGCAAAACCAGAACGAUGCCAUUUUUUCCCCUCUUUUUGAUUGGAUAAAAACACAUUCUGACUCUUAGCCUGUGCAAUAAACAAAACUGUAGAAAUUGUUUGUGGUUAAAAAGGCUCAUGAAAGGAAACCGAAAUGUCUUAGCUGGAGUCUGACAUCAGAGCGCUUUUGUCCAACUCGUCAUCGUUGUCAUCACUUUCAUUAUCAUCCAAUUCUU
Molecule: RNA transcript, 3934 nt
Organism: Hippocampus zosterae (dwarf seahorse)
Lineage: Eukaryota; Metazoa; Chordata; Actinopteri; Syngnathiformes; Syngnathidae
Gene: marchf1
Gene name: membrane-associated ring finger (C3HC4) 1
Exons: 12
Source: RefSeq, a predicted model, not a curated record